GGAGACGUGGCCGAGAGGCUGAAGGCACUCGUUUGCUAAAUGAGCAGACCCCCAAAAGGGUCUCGAGGGUUCGAAUCCCUCCGUCUCCGCCA
RNAcentral lists this transfer RNA (92 nucleotides) under Xanthobacter viscosus. Its description in RNAcentral is "tRNA-Ser". It matches the Rfam family "tRNA". From Rfam's summary of the family: Transfer RNA (tRNA) molecules are approximately 80 nucleotides in length. The record is from RNAcentral. RNAcentral also lists the same sequence under 59 other names. Lineage: Bacteria; Pseudomonadati; Pseudomonadota; Alphaproteobacteria; Hyphomicrobiales; Xanthobacteraceae.